RNAcentral lists this ribosomal RNA (161 nucleotides) under uncultured bacterium. RNAcentral's name for it is "partial 16S ribosomal RNA". The record is from RNAcentral.
CACGUAGUUAGCCGAGGCUUUCUGGUUAGGUACCGUCAAGGUACCGCCCUAUUCGAACGGUACUUGUUCUUCCCUAACAACAGAGCUUUACGAUCCGAAAACCUUCAUCACUCACGCGGUGUUGCUCCGUCAGACUUUCGUCCAUUGCGGAAGAUUCCCUA